AAUAAAGUGCCUGAUAAAAGGAUUAUUUUGAUGUAAUAAAAGAUGUUUAAUUAAACCUUUAUUU
This 64-nucleotide transfer RNA is filed under the name Dinocampus coccinellae. RNAcentral's name for it is "tRNA-Ile". Lineage: Eukaryota; Metazoa; Arthropoda; Insecta; Hymenoptera; Braconidae. The record is from RNAcentral.